This 460-nucleotide ribosomal RNA is filed under the name uncultured bacterium. RNAcentral's name for it is "partial 16S ribosomal RNA". It matches the Rfam family "Bacterial small subunit ribosomal RNA", at positions 338 to 795 of the family's 1533-position model. The record is from RNAcentral.
CCUACGGGUGGCAGCAGUGAGGAAUAUUGCUCAAUGGACGAGAGUCUGAACCAGCCAAGUAGCGUGAAGGAUGACUGCCCUAUGGGUUGUAAACUCUUUUUAUAUGGGAAUAAAAUGUUCCACGUGUGGGAUUUUGUAUGUACCAUAUGAAUAAGGAUCGGCUAACUCCGUGCCAGCAGCCGCGGUAAUACGGAGGAUCCGAGCGUUAUCCGGAUUUAUUGGGUUUAAAGGGAGCGUAGAUGGGUUGUUAAGUCAGUUGUGAAAGUUUGCGGCUCAACCGUAAAAUUGCAAUUGAUACUGGCAGCCUGGAGUACAGUUGAGGUAGGCGGAAUUCGUGGUGUAGCGGUGAAAUGCGUAGAUAUCACGAAGAACUCCGAUGGCGAAGGCAGCCUACUAAACUGCCACUGACAUUGAUGCUCGAAAGUGUGGGUAGCAAACAGGAUUAGAUACCCUGGUAGUC